Molecule: ribosomal RNA, 448 nt
Filed under: uncultured bacterium
Lineage: Bacteria
Description: SSU rRNA
Rfam family: Bacterial small subunit ribosomal RNA
Source: RNAcentral
AGGAUGAACGCUGGCGGUCUGCUUAACACAUGCAAGUCGAACGGAGUAGCAAUACUUAGUGGCGGACGGGUGAGUAACGCGUGAGAAUCUACCUUCAGGACGGAGACAACAGUUGGAAACGACUGCUAACCCCCGAUGUACCGCAAGGGCAAAUAUUUAUAGCCUGAAGAAGAGCUCGCGUCCGAUUAGCUAGUUGGAGAGGUAAAAGCUCACCAAGGCGACGAUCGGUAGCUGGUCUGAGAGGACGAUCAGCCACACUGGGACUGAGACACGGCCCAGACUCCUACGGGAGGCAGCAGUGGGGAAUUUUCCGCAAUGGGCGAAAGCCUGACGGAGCAAGACCGCGUGGGGGAAGAAGGCUCUUGGGUUGUAAACCCCUUUUCUCUGGGAAGAACACAAUGACGGUACCAGAGGAAUCAGCAUCGGCUAACUCCGUGCCAGCAGCCGC